CUGAGUGUCGGGUUCUCUCUCCGAGGCCCACCCUCCAACCCUGUGUCUAUCGAACCUCUUGUUGCUUCGGCGGGCCCGUCUCCCAUCACUGGGAAGACCGCCGGGUCCUUUUACGGGGCCUGGCCCGUGCUCGCCGACAGCCUACACAACACAAACUCUUGAACUCAACUUUGCGUCUGAAACACAAAACAAAACAAAUAAAAACA
This 206-nucleotide unclassified non-coding RNA is filed under the name uncultured Ascomycota. RNAcentral describes it as "sequence contains ITS1". Lineage: Eukaryota; Fungi; Ascomycota. The record is from RNAcentral.